This 171-nucleotide unclassified non-coding RNA is filed under the name uncultured Sordariomycetes. Its description in RNAcentral is "sequence contains ITS2". The record is from RNAcentral. Lineage: Eukaryota; Fungi; Ascomycota; Sordariomycetes.
CAACCCUCGGUCCCGCCUUUGCAGGUGGAACCGGCGUUGGGGACCGGCCUCCUCCGGGAGGGUCGCCCCCGAAGCACAUCGGCGGUCCCGCCGCGGCCUUCUGUGCGUAGUAACUCACCUCGCACUGGAGAGCGGCGCGGCCACGCCGUCAAACAGACGAAUUCCUCAAGG